Molecule: ribosomal RNA, 1035 nt
Filed under: uncultured bacterium
Lineage: Bacteria
Description: bacterial SSU rRNA
Rfam family: Bacterial small subunit ribosomal RNA
Source: RNAcentral
UCGAACGAAGUAGCAAUACUUAGUGGCAGACGGGUGAGUAACAUGUAGGUAUCUGCCCUUUGGCCUGGAAUAACACGAGGAAACUUGUGCUAAUACCGGAUAAGUCUUUACGGAGAAAGCUUUAUGCACCAUUGGAUGAGCCUGCACUUGAUUAGUUUGUUGGUGGGGUAAUGGCCUACCAAGACUGUGAUCAAUAGCUGAUUUGAGAGGAUGAUCAGCCACAUUGGGACUGAGACACGGCCCAAACUCCUACGGGAGGCAGCAGUGGGGAAUCUUGCACAAUGGAGGAAACUCUGAUGCAGCGAUGCCGCGUGAGUGAAGAAGGCCCUUGGGUUGUAAAGCUCUUUCGUCGGGGAAGAAAAUGACUGUACCCGAAUAAGAAGGUCCGGCUAACUUCGUGCCAGCAGCCGCGGUAAUACGAAGGGACCUAGCGUAGUUCGGAAUUACUGGGCUUAAAGAGUUCGUAGGUGGUUGAAAAAGUUAGUGGUGAAAUCCCAGAGCUUAACUCUGGAACUGCCAUUAAAACUUUUCAGCUAGAGUAUGAUAGAGGAAAGCAGAAUUUCUAGUGUAGAGGUGAAAUUCGUAGAUAUUAGAAAGAAUACCAAUUGCGAAGGCAGCUUUCUGGAUCAUUACUGACACUGAGGAACGAAAGCAUGGGUAGCGAAGAGGAUUAGAUACCCUCGUAGUCCAUGCCGUAAACGAUGUGUGUUAGACGUUGGAAAUUUAUUUUCAGUGUCGCAGGGAAACCGAUAAACACACCGCCUGGGGAGUACGACCGCAAGGUUAAAACUCAAAUGAAUUGACGGGGACCCGCACAAGUAGUGGAGCAUGUGGUUUAAUUCGAAGAUACGCGCAGAACCUUACCAACACUUGACAUGUUCGUCGCGACUCUAAGAGAUUAGAGUUUUCGGUUCGGCCGGACGAAACACAGGUGCUGCAUGGCUGUCGUCAGCUCGUGUCGUGAGAUGUUGGGUUAAGUCCCGCAACGAGCGCAACCCUCACUUUUAGUUGCCAUCAUUAAGUUGGGCACUCUGA